CUAUCGGGUCUCGAAUCAAGACUGGACCCCAGAGUAUAAAUGUUAUCUGUUUUAAUUUGAAUGGGUUGAAUGACAUUUCCCGGUAAAACAUUUCUAUCUCUAGCCUUAUGCCUUGUUCAGAUUACAGCUGAAUAACAUGUUAUUCGAAGGUGUUACUUCUGAAUAACAAAAGCGUUCGCACUAGCAUUUUAGGUAAUACUAUUUGACAGCUGACAGCAUGUGUCAAGCGCCAAUUUUUUUCGAGCAGUUUGUUGUUUGUUUACAAAUAUGCAGCGAGAUUCUUCAAAUUAGAAUUCAAUUAUUAUUAAACAAUUAUUAAACAAUUAUUAUUAAACAAUUUCUGUUUGCGAUUAAAGAACUGUUUAGCGGUAAUGGGAUUUAUUAAUUUGCUAUUUUCUUCGUAAUUGCAAGAAGCGGACCAAACUCCGAAGGCGUGAGUUCAGUAUGGGAUGAAACAGAUAGUGAUUAGUGUGCGCUAAAAAGCCAGAAGUAUUUGUGUGCUUCGUUUAAAUUUUAUUUUGCAAGUAGGUUACAAGUAGGUAAUUUCAUUAGCUUUUUUACUGAUGUUGCUUUCUAUAUAAAAUAGUGUGUAUUGUUUGUCUUAGGUUUCGUCACCGGUGAACGGGAUGUGAAGUCGAGGAUUUCAUAAAUAUUACACAGGCAGAAUGCAUCAAUGGAGCCUGGAAGGUCAAGAUGGAUCAGAAAUAAUACAAUGUUUAGCAGCUGCAAGACGAGCCAACGUGAAUUCAAGUUAAACAAAAUUGUAUCGCCAAAACAGUGUGACAAUGGAAUUCAUGGAACAACUUCAGCGCGAGAAACAGGAUUCCUGGAACCCGAACUAACUCGAGAACUACGGUGGAAAUUCCAAAAAUAUUCAGUGCUAUCGUUUGAAGCGACCGACGGCUUUUUACUGGGAUGCGUCUAGUCCUUGGACCCAAUGGGAAGUAUCAUCAGUGUUGGUUGUCCUCCCCUAUUUGGUUGUAUCGUUGAUCGGAUUAUUCUGAACCUAUUUUGUAGAUCCAGUUUUGCUCAAAAGGUCACCAAUCGGAAAACCACAAGUUGCCGGUAGUGAUAGUAUUAUAAUUGGUUUUAAGAGUAAGAAACCCACCGUCGUUUCGCCCACGAAGUAACUUCCAAUUUUUAUAAUAAAAUAACAAUUAAACAACGCAGGAUGAUAUCGCACGUAAUCAUCAUCAUAGGAGAUGGUAUUAGUUGCCAAAAUCAGCUAAAACCAUUCAUCACAUUCCAUUUAUAUCUCAACUUAGGUGAACGAGGCCAGGCACGGAACUACGUUGUUGUGUUUCGCUAGGAAGGGAUCGUGGAGUACUACUAACUAAAAUAGAUACUAGAGUAAAAUGAUUCAAACGAAAUAAAGAUAUUCAAACGCA
Molecule: long non-coding RNA, 1388 nt
Organism: Armigeres subalbatus
Lineage: Eukaryota; Metazoa; Arthropoda; Insecta; Diptera; Culicidae
Exons: 2
Source: RefSeq, a predicted model, not a curated record